GUCAACAAUGUCAAGGCUGAGAAACUCUGGUCUUACAUUGGCUUGAAGCAAUGCAUAUUAAACUCAUAGUAGGCAGGGCAAUGUUGACUUUCCAAAUGACAUAGCACCUUGAGAGUUCAAUAAAGAUGAAGAGAGUCUAUAGUUGUUGACAAUGACAGUAUUCUUAGCUUCUUAGCAUAGGGAAGCAAAGAAUAAACUGGGUAUUCCCAGGUUCGGGUCUCUUGAUCAUUCCAUUAAUAACAAUAGUCCUUCAUUUCCACCAGUGAAGGUGAAGGUGUGAGCAAGUUCAAGGUAGCAGGUCCUCCAAGAUCUCAUCCCAUCUUGUAAGAUCUAAAGAUUCUAUAAAAGCACUCAACUUUUCUUUUUAGAGAUGUUUUUCGUUUCAGUGCAGCCGCUACUACAAUAACUAUCACCGUUAGCUUGAAAGAGAACCAGACAUAAUGGAGGGCAAUUAUUUUCUCCUCUUUUACCCACAGCUCUCCUUCCUCCUUCCUCCAAACUACUCCCAGUGCCAUGCUAUACACCCCCAUCCUGUGACCAGGCCUGCAGGCCCUUCUGUUCCCACAGACUCUACCAAGUUUCUCAGGGGAUUUAUGGUGACUUAUUUAAAUGCAACUGAUUUGCCCACAAGGGCCAACUCAAGGAAAAUAAUUUCCAUCAGCCCCAUCUUUCCUGAGCUUUGUACACAAGAACACCAAAAGGCCUUUCUUUCUUUGGAAAAUAAGUUCCUUUUCCUAAUUGGAGUCAGUUUUACUAAUCAAGAUUACAAUGAGGCUUUACAAGCAACGUUGAAGAAGGGAGCAUUUAUGCAGUUUACCUCCUGAGCAUUGAACAUGCAGAGAAAGAUUCCAAACACCCCAGAACUACACAGGCCACUGCUAAGUGAUGCUUAAGGACUUGUCAGCAAAGGCUCCAAUGCAUUCACCUAGGACAAUGCCCAAAGUCAAUGAUCUCACAAGGAUACAUAUGACAUGAGGAUUCUUGCCAGCAAAAGCCAGCUUGAAUCUGAACAGAAAUAUCCACGAUAUGCCAUCAUCUUCCUUUUCCAAGUGAACUCUCUGCUAAAUAAAUAACGAAAAUAUUCUAAGUACAAUCAAGUAAAAGAAAAACAUGAGCAUUUUCCAAUCUAUCAACAGAUGAGGCACAGAAAAGCCAUUUGGACAGAAGCAAAGGUCUCCAAGAACAACAAAAGCCACACUGUUAAUACCACAGGGUUGGAUAAACCUGUUCCAUGCCAAGGCCAUAUGGAAAGCUUACAGGGAGAAUGGCACGAAGAAACAAAAGGCCUUUGGAAACCUCUGAGGAUUGCUGGGUGAAAAUGGAAUUUGGGCAGUGAGGCAAGAAGGAUCCAGGCUGACCUCCAUAGGGCACAGUAACAUCAAUUCAAGAUAUUUGCACUCAAGCAGGCUGCUAAACCCCCGUGAUGCUGAACACUUGAGCUUGUCCCAAUCCCUGGUGCCUUCCGCCUUUCGCUGCAGCCUGGACUAACCACGCUUUGAGCAAGUGAAACGCUUGCCACUGUUGCUGUACUUCUGAGUCACUGAGAUGAGACAGUGACCAGUAACAAGACUCCCUCCUUGAUUAAAUGAAAUCAGGUUCCUCUAAGUCCUCAAGGUCUCGAUCUUACAAGUCCAUCCUUGCCAGACCCGUUAUCACCUAGUUUUAGCAAAAAUCUUGUUACAUCACUUGAGAAAGAAUCCCCACGCUGGUUAUCUCACCAAAUUCAUCAUCUCUCACCAUUCCCCAGGUGAGAUCUGAUCACCCUGGCCUGCCUUCAGCACGACUCCUGUUAGGUCUGUUUAGCAAGAAUCUUCCUUACUUCUGAUGCUCCCUUUUAGGGGCUAUCUACCCACUGACCCCUAACCCUGCCUUUUGGCUACAUAUCCCCACUUGUUCAAGUAUGUUCAGAAUUGGGCCCCUACUGCAAUAGUUCCUGACUAAAAUCUGUUUUUACUACUCUAAUCACUCUCUGGUUUUGGUUUUUCUUUCUUUUCUUUUCUUUUCUCUUUUCUUUUACUUUUUUUGUUGUUGUUGAGAUGAGGUC
RNAcentral lists this long non-coding RNA (2044 nucleotides) under Homo sapiens (human). RNAcentral's name for it is "HSALNT0349312". Lineage: Eukaryota; Metazoa; Chordata; Mammalia; Primates; Hominidae. The record is from RNAcentral.